Molecule: ribosomal RNA, 490 nt
Filed under: uncultured bacterium
Lineage: Bacteria
Description: partial 16S ribosomal RNA
Rfam family: Bacterial small subunit ribosomal RNA
Source: RNAcentral
AUUGAACGCUGGCGGCAGGCCUAACACAUGCAAGUCGAACGGUAACAGGAAGCAGCUUGCUGCUUCGCUGACUAGUGGCUGACGGGUGAGUUAUGUCUGGGAAACUGCCUGAUGGAGGUGGUUAACUUCUGGAAACUGUAGCUAAUACCGCAUAACGUCGCAAUACCAAAGAGGGGGACCUUAGGGCCUCUUGCCAUCGGAUUUGCCCAUCUGGGAUUAGCUAGUAGGUGGGGUAACGGCUCACCUAGGCGACGAUCCCUAGCUGGUCUGAGAGGAUGACUAGGCACACUGGAAGUGAGACACGGCACAGACACCUACGGGAGGAAGCAGUGGGGAAUAUUGCACAAGGGGCGCGAGCCUGAUGCAGCCAAGCCGCGUGUAUGAAGAAGGACUUAGGGUUGUAAAGUACUGUAAGUGGGGAGGAAGGGAGUAAAGUUAACACCUUUGCUCAUUGACGUUACCCGCAGAAGAAGCGCCGGCUAACUCCGUG